Cyanistes caeruleus (blue tit) is the source of this 141-nucleotide non-coding RNA. The record is from RefSeq and is a predicted model, not a curated record. Lineage: Eukaryota; Metazoa; Chordata; Aves; Passeriformes; Paridae.
AACAGUGACUGGGAACACUUGACAACUCCUGAAUGAUAGCUUGAGGCCCUGGAGGGAAAACAUUAAGACUUUACAUUUCACAGUCAGCUCUGUUAAGCAGCUAUGGAAAUAGAAAAGGAACACAUUUAUAUUACCCCAACA